Molecule: ribosomal RNA, 252 nt
Filed under: uncultured bacterium
Lineage: Bacteria
Description: partial 16S ribosomal RNA
Rfam family: Bacterial small subunit ribosomal RNA
Source: RNAcentral
UACGUAGGGGGCAAGCGUUGUCCGGAUUUAUUGGGCGUAAAGAGCGUGUAGGCGGCCAUGUAGGUCCGGUGUGAAACUCGAGGCUUAACCUCGAGAUGUCAUCGGAACCAUUUGGCUAGAGUCCGGAAGAGGAGAGUGGAAUUCCGUGGUGUAGCGGUGAAAUGCGCAGAUAUCAGGAAGAACACCAAUGGCGAAAGCAGCUCUCUGGACGGUACUGACGGCUGAGACGCGAAAGCGUGGGGAGCGAACAGG